AACGAACGCUGGCGGCAUGCCUAACACAUGCAAGUCGAACGAGACCUUCGGGUCUAGUGGCGCACGGGUGCGUAACGCGUGGGAACCUGCCCUUAGGUUCGGAAUAACUCCCCGAAAGGGGUGCUAAUACCGGAUAAUGUCUUCGGACCAAAGAUUUAUCGCCUUUGGAUGGGCCCGCGUUGGAUUAGCUAGUUGGUAGGGUAAAAGCCUACCACGGCGACGAUCCAUAGCUGGUCUGAGAGGAUGAUCAGCCACACUGGGACUGAGACACGGCCCAGAAUCCUACGGGAGGCAGCAGUGGGGAAUAUUGGACAAUGGGCGAAAGGCUGAACCAGCAAUGCCGCGUGAGUGAUGAAGGCCGUAGGGUUGUAAAGCUCUUUUACCCGGGAUGAUAAUGACAGUACCGGGAGAAUAAGCUCCGGCUAACUCCGUG
This 433-nucleotide ribosomal RNA is filed under the name uncultured bacterium. Its description in RNAcentral is "partial 16S ribosomal RNA". It matches the Rfam family "Bacterial small subunit ribosomal RNA", at positions 29 to 507 of the family's 1533-position model. The record is from RNAcentral.